UACGAAGGGGGCUAGCGUUACUCGGAUUGACUGGGCGUAAAGGGCGCGUAGGCGGUUUGUACAGUCAGACGUGAAAUUCCUGGGCUCAACCUGGGGGCUGCGUUUGAUACGUGCAGACUUGAGUUCGGAAGAGGGUCGUGGAAUUCCCAGUGUAGAGGUGAAAUUCGUAGAUAUUGGGAAGAACACCGGUGGCGAAGGCGGCGACCUGGUCCGAUACUGACGCUGAGGCGCGAAAGCUAGGGGAGCGAACGGG
This 253-nucleotide ribosomal RNA is filed under the name uncultured bacterium. RNAcentral describes it as "partial 16S ribosomal RNA". It matches the Rfam family "Bacterial small subunit ribosomal RNA", at positions 524 to 776 of the family's 1533-position model. The record is from RNAcentral.